AUUGAACGCUGGCGGCAUGCCUUACACAUGCAAGUCGAACGGCAGCACGGGUGCUUGCACCUGGUGGCGAGUGGCGAACGGGUGAGUAAUACAUCGGAACAUGUCCUGUAGUGGGGGAUAGCCCGGCGAAAGCCGGAUUAAUACCGCAUACGAUCUACGGAUGAAAGCGGGGGACCUUCGGGCCUCGCGCUAUAGGGUUGGCCGAUGGCUGAUUAGCUAGUUGGUGGGGUAAAGGCCUACCAAGGCGACGAUCAGUAGCUGGUCUGAGAGGACGACCAGCCACACUGGGACUGAGACACGGCCCAGACUCCUACGGGAGGCAGCAGUGGGGAAUUUUGGACAAUGGGCGCAAGCCUGAUCCAGCAAUGCCGCGUGUGUGAAGAAGGCCUUCGGGUUGUAAAGCACUUUUGUCCGGAAAGAAAUCCUUGGCCCUAAUACGGUCGGGGGAUGACGGUACCGGAAGAAUAAGCACCGGCUAACUACGUG
Molecule: ribosomal RNA, 486 nt
Filed under: uncultured bacterium
Lineage: Bacteria
Description: partial 16S ribosomal RNA
Rfam family: Bacterial small subunit ribosomal RNA
Source: RNAcentral